CUCUUUGAUUUAUGUUCCUAUGGUUUGAAGCCCAUUAAACAGCCACACGCUACCUCUUCUGUCUUUCUAUGUCUUCUCAUCUGGUAACUUUUGGCAAUGCGUUCACCAAUUCAACACAAUCUAAUGUAAUGUAUAACUUGGAUAGAGGAAAGGAAAGGAAAAUGGAAACUAGAGUCAGUAAAUGAGGAAUGAAAUAGAAUUUUAGCCACUAUUCUCAUUGUACUUGUAUGGCUAAACAAGUACAUGUCUCUUAUGUUUUCACUGUUACCAACCAAGUAUCAUUUCAUCUGAAUCAAAAACAAGAAGAGACCUAUGCACAACAUUUUUGAAGACUAGCAUAAAGUAAAGAAUUAAAUUAGACCAAAAGGGAAGUGUACAUAACACUAAUAAUCGUACAUGUACACAUGUAUUAUGCAUAUAAUACUUGUA
Amphimedon queenslandica is the source of this 429-nucleotide long non-coding RNA. RefSeq lists it as uncharacterized. Lineage: Eukaryota; Metazoa; Porifera; Demospongiae; Haplosclerida; Niphatidae. The transcript has 3 exons. The record is from RefSeq and is a predicted model, not a curated record.